GAAGAAUUGAACCUUCUGUUGGAACAAUUUAGGCACUUUAAAGGAAUCCAUGGAUCCAGAAGCAGCAAUGGAGUUGGCUGUAAGCACCAUGCUGAUAGAUCAUUGAGAGAUUUAAGAACAAAGUAGUGGCUCCUUUUGGAAGCAGAUACUACAAAGGUUCCAGUUGUGGAAUUGACUUGGUUGUCUUCAGAGAGAAAUUCAGAACCAGAGAUAUCAAAUUACUUGAAGUUGAUUAAAAUUUUGUGAAGAAAAAUCCUGGGAAAUUAUAAAGCACUGGCAGAUGAAAGAGUGGCACAGAAUGAGGUUGGAACUGACAGGGAUUAUUUCAGGAGAAGCCCA
RNAcentral lists this long non-coding RNA (339 nucleotides) under Phascolarctos cinereus (koala). RNAcentral describes it as "lncRNA (ENSPCIG00000023369.2)". Lineage: Eukaryota; Metazoa; Chordata; Mammalia; Diprotodontia; Phascolarctidae. The record is from RNAcentral.